Long non-coding RNA from Oreochromis aureus, 1086 nucleotides. The record is from Ensembl. Lineage: Eukaryota; Metazoa; Chordata; Actinopteri; Cichliformes; Cichlidae.
CAGGUCGACACUGAAUGAAUCACUCAGGCUGAAUAUUAAUCGUUCUUAUUAUUAAUAUUUAAAUCUGCUUAACUUGGAGGAAACUGCAGAAACAGGAUAUUUAAGGAUCUGAAGUAAUUUUGUUAUUGAGUUUAUCAGUGAGGACCAACACUGAGCAGGUUUUCUAAUGGCUCCCGAAGAAGAAGAGGAAGGUUUCAGUGAGCAUCAUGCAGACGGCUGGAUCGCUGGUUUCCUGUUCCCCUCUGUAUAUUUGUGUAGAGGGGGGAAAACUCCCACCGAAGGCCUGAAACAUUGUUGCACAAGGAUAGAAUUAUGUGUUGUUGUUUUUUUUCUGCUGUAAAGGUUGAACACAAGAGUCUUUGUGGCUGACUCACAGUAGAGGAACUGCAGGUUUGGUCAUUCUUCCGUUCAUGAGGUUUUCAUUAAUAAGAUAAGAUCACUGUUUAUUGCCAUUGCACAGUCAUGCUUAGCACAGUAGUACAACAGAAUUGGAAACUGUCCCACGCCGGCACAACUAAACACAACUAAACACAACACAGUAACUUAAAGUGGAUUUUUUAAAAGUGCAAUAAAAGGUUUGAGCAAGAAAAGGAAUCACUUAAUAAGUAAGUAAAAGAGUGAGUGAAUGUUUAUUGCGCAUUAUUAUUAUUAUUGUUAUUGUUAUUGCCCCCCAAAAAGUCCAGGGAGGUAGCCAAUCAGGUCAGCUGUUAGCACUGAUUAGGGCCAUUGCCCUGUUGUAAAAGCUGUCCUUGAGUCUGUUUGUCCGCGACCUCAGCAGCCUGAACCUCCUGCAGACAGCAGCAGCUUAAACACUCGGUGUCCUGGGUGUGUGCAGUCCCGUAGGAUGCUGCUGCAGCUAGGACUGCUCUGAUCCUACAGAUGAAUUUAAAAGAUCUCUGUGAAAGCAGCUCCAGGUGUUUCACCUUGAACUCAGUUCAGACUCAGUGUUAGAGGAUCGAAUAACCAAGCAGCCACCCUCAGGUCUUAAAAGUGAAGACAACAUGAAACAACCCAAAGUUGCAGUUCCUCUAUUGUCCACUUGAGGCUCGCUUCAGUCCCCACAGACUCCCAUGUUUUGGUCACAGU